RNAcentral lists this ribosomal RNA (220 nucleotides) under uncultured bacterium. RNAcentral's name for it is "partial 16S ribosomal RNA". It matches the Rfam family "Bacterial small subunit ribosomal RNA", at positions 111 to 334 of the family's 1533-position model. The record is from RNAcentral.
UAAUGUAUGGGGAUCUGCCCGAUAGAGGGGGAUAACUACUGGAAACGGUGGCUAACACCGCAUAAUGUCUACGGACCAAAGCAGGGGCUCUUCGGACCUUGCACUAUCGGAUGAACCCAUAUGGGAUUAGCUAGUAGGUGGGGUAAAGGCUCACCUAGGCGACGAUCUCUAGCUGGUCUGAGAGGAUGAUCAGCCACACUGGGACUGAGACACGGCCCAG